Molecule: ribosomal RNA, 582 nt
Filed under: uncultured Bergeyella sp.
Lineage: Bacteria; Pseudomonadati; Bacteroidota; Flavobacteriia; Flavobacteriales; Weeksellaceae
Description: bacterial SSU rRNA
Rfam family: Bacterial small subunit ribosomal RNA
Source: RNAcentral
UUCCUACGGGAGGCAGCAGUGAGGAAUAUUGGACAAUGGGUGCAAGCCUGAUCCAGCCAUCCCGCGUGAAGGAUUAAGGUCCUAUGGAUUGUAAACUUCUUUUAUACAGGGAUAAACCUCUCCUCGUGAGGAGAGCUGAAGGUACUGUAUGAAUAAGCACCGGCUAACUCCGUGCCAGCAGCCGCGGUAAUACGGAGGGUGCAAGCGUUAUCCGGAUUUAUUGGGUUUAAAGGGUCCGUAGGCGGACCUGUAAGUCAGUGGUGAAAUCCUACAGCUUAACUGUAGAACUGCCAUUGAUACUGCGGGUCUUGAGUGUAGUUGAGGUAGCUGGAAUAAGUAGUGUAGCGGUGAAAUGCAUAGAUAUUACUUAGAACACCAAUUGCGAAGGCAGGUUACCAAGUUACAACUGACGCUGAUGGACGAAAGCGUGGGUAGCGAACAGGAUUAGAUACCCUGGUAGUCCACGCUGUAAACGAUGCUAACUCGUUUUUGGAUUUUCGGAUUCAGAGACCAAGCGAAAGUGAUAAGUUAGCCACCUGGGGAGUACGUUCGCAAGAAUGAAACUCAAAGGAAUUGACGGAA